RNAcentral lists this ribosomal RNA (491 nucleotides) under uncultured bacterium. RNAcentral's name for it is "bacterial SSU rRNA". It matches the Rfam family "Bacterial small subunit ribosomal RNA", at positions 30 to 507 of the family's 1533-position model. The record is from RNAcentral.
AUUGAACGCUGGCGGUAUGCUUAACACAUGCAAGUCGAACGGUAACAGGAGAGAGCUUGCGUUCUUGCUGACGAGUGGCGGACGGGUGAGUAACGCGUAGGAAUCUGCCUAGUAGUGGGGGACAACUCGGGGAAACUCGAGCUAAUACCGCAUACGCCCUACGGGGGAAAGCCGGGGGAUCUUCGGACCUCGCGCUAUUAGAUGAGCCUGCGUUGGAUUAGCUUGUUGGUGAGGUAAUGGCUCACCAAGGCGACGAUCCAUAGCUGGUCUGAGAGGACGAUCAGCCACACUGGGACUGAGACACGGCCCAGACUCCUACGGGAGGCAGCAGUGGGGAAUAUUGGACAAUGGGCGAAAGCCUGAUCCAGCAAUACCGCGUGUGUGAAGAAGGCCUGCGGGUUGUAAAGCACUUUCAGUAGUGAAGAAAAGCCUGGAGUUAAUAACUCCGGGUCUUGACGUUAACUACAGAAGAAGCACCGGCUAACUCAGUG